Molecule: small nucleolar RNA, 106 nt
Organism: Lupinus angustifolius (narrow-leaved blue lupine)
Lineage: Eukaryota; Viridiplantae; Streptophyta; Magnoliopsida; Fabales; Fabaceae
Rfam family: Plant small nucleolar RNA R71
About the family: R71 is a member of the C/D box family of snoRNAs containing the C (UGAUGA) and D (CUGA) box motifs. Multiple nearly identical copies of this snoRNA have been identified in Arabidopsis, and it is thought to function as a 2'-O-ribose methylation guide for 18S ribosomal RNA.
Source: Rfam
AACCCAUGAUUGGGGCAUUUCCUCAGCAGCAACUGGAAACGCUCCCAAGACUCAUAAAAAGCUUCCUCGACACUUUGUCUGAAUGUAGAGAUUUCAAACUUGGCCU